UGCCAGCAGCCGCGGUAAUACGGAGGGUCCAAGCGUUAUCCGGAAUCAUUGGGUUUAAAGGGUCCGUAGGCGGGCAAUUAAGUCAGUGGUGAAAUCUUGCCGCUUAACGGUAAAAUUGCCAUUGAUACUGAAGUUCUUGAAUGUAGUUGAGGUAGGCGGAAUGUGUUGUGUAGCGGUGAAAUGCAUAGAUAUGACACAGAACGCCAAUUGCGAAGGCAGCUUACUAAGCUACGAUUGACGCUGAGGCACGAAAGCGUGGGGAGCGAACAGGAUUAGAUA
This 279-nucleotide ribosomal RNA is filed under the name uncultured bacterium. RNAcentral describes it as "partial 16S ribosomal RNA". It matches the Rfam family "Bacterial small subunit ribosomal RNA", at positions 506 to 784 of the family's 1533-position model. The record is from RNAcentral.